Molecule: ribosomal RNA, 492 nt
Filed under: uncultured bacterium
Lineage: Bacteria
Description: partial 16S ribosomal RNA
Rfam family: Bacterial small subunit ribosomal RNA
Source: RNAcentral
AGUGAACGCUGGCGGUAGGCCUAACACAUGCAAGUCGAACGGCAGCACAGUAAGAGCUUGCUCUUACGGGUGGCGAGUGGCGGACGGGUGAGGAAUACAUCGGAAUCUACUUUUUCGUGGGGGAUAACGUAGGGAAACUUACGCUAAUACCGCAUACGACCUACGGGUGAAAGCAGGGGAUCUUCGGACCUUGCGCGAUUGAAUGAGCCGAUGUCGGAUUAGCUAGUUGGCGGGGUAAAGGCCCACCAAGGCGACGAUCCGUAGCUGGUCUGAGAGGAUGAUCCGCCACACUGGAACUGAGACACGGUCCAGACUCCUACGGGAGGCGGCAGUGGGGAAUAUUGGACAAUGGGCGCAAGCCUGAUCCAGCCAUACCGCGUGGGUGAAGAAGGCCUUCGGGUUGUAAAGCCCUUUUGUUGGGAAAGAAAAGCAGCAGGUUAAUCCCCCGCUGUUCUGACGGUACCCAAAGAAUAAGCACCGGCUAACUUCGUG